RNAcentral lists this long non-coding RNA (280 nucleotides) under Pan troglodytes (chimpanzee). Its description in RNAcentral is "long non-coding RNA NONPTRT009436". The record is from RNAcentral. Lineage: Eukaryota; Metazoa; Chordata; Mammalia; Primates; Hominidae.
CCUGCCACGAGAACACACCCUUUCCAGUUUGCUGGAGAAAUAUAAGAGAAGUCCAGUGAAAGAGAGCUGAGUUUCCCCAAUGAUGCCAUCAAGAUGAACUAACUACAGUUAACCAGCCAGCUGAUAGCAGAUGCAUGAGUGAGCCCAGCUGAGAGCAGUGCCUACAAUAGUUCCUGGUAUGUAGAAGGUAUACAAUAAAUAUUGGCGGAGUGAAGGAACAAAUGGGAUUUGCUUGAUUCUGCUGCAGAAGACUAAGGAAAAGACAUAAAUGAAUAAAUAA